RNAcentral lists this ribosomal RNA (647 nucleotides) under uncultured bacterium. RNAcentral describes it as "bacterial SSU rRNA". The stretch from base 1 to 539 matches the Rfam family "Bacterial small subunit ribosomal RNA", at positions 338 to 873 of the family's 1533-position model. The record is from RNAcentral.
CCUACGGGAGGCAGCAGUAAGGAAUAUUGGUCAAUGGAGGCAACUCUGAACCAGCCAUGCCGCGUGCAGGAAGAAGGCCCUAUGGGUCGUAAACUGCUUUUGUACCAGAGAAAACCACAGUACGUGUACUGUGUUGAUAGUAUGGUAAGAAUAAGCAUCGGCUAACUUCGUGCCAGCAGCCGCGGUAAGACGAAGGAUGCAAGCGUUAUCCGGAUUCAUUGGGUUUAAAGGGUGCGUAGGCGGACUGAUAAGUCAGUGGUGAAAUCUCUCAGCUUAACUGAGAAACUGCCAUUGAUACUGUUAGUCUAGAGUAUAGAUGACGUUGGCGGAAUAUGACAUGUAGUGGUGAAAUACUUAGAUAUGUCAUAGAACACCGAUUGCGAAGGCAGCUAACGAAACUAUAACUGACGCUGAGGCACGAAAGUGCGGGGAUCAAACAGGAUUAGAUACCCUGGUAGUCCGCACCGUAAACGAUGAUUACUCGUUGUUGGCAAUAUGACCGUCGAGCGACCGACGACGAAGACGAGUAAGUAAGUACCGUUACCGUUACGGGUAGGUUACGGACCGGACCGACGGUUACGGAACGUUAAAGGUUAAAGUUAGGUUACGGACGNGAGACGAGCGACGGACGACGACGAGGGAGGAGG